GAUGAACGCUGGCGGCGUGCCUAAUACAUGCAAGUCGAGCGAACGGACGAGAAGCUUGCUUCUCUGAUGUUAGCGGCGGACGGGUGAGUAACACGUGGAUAACCUACCUAUAAGACUGGGAUAACUUCGGGAAACCGGAGCUAAUACCGGAUAAUAUUUUGAACCGCAUGGUUCAAAAGUGAAAGACGGUCUUGCUGUCGCUUAUAGAUGGAUCCGCGCUGCAUUAGCUAGUUGGUAAGGUAACGGCUUACCAAGGCAACGAUGCAUAGCCGACCUGAGAGGGUGAUCGGCCACCCGGGAAGUGAGACACGGUCCAGACUCCUACGGGAGGCAGCAGUAGGGAAUCUUCCGCAAUGCGCGAAAGCCUGACGGAGCAACGCCGCGUGAGUGAUGAAGGUCUUCGGAUCGUAAAACUCUGUUAUUAGGGAAGAACAUAUGUGUAAGUAACUGUGCACAUCUUGACGGUACCUAAUCAGAAAGCCACGGCUAACUACGUG
RNAcentral lists this ribosomal RNA (497 nucleotides) under uncultured bacterium. Its description in RNAcentral is "partial 16S ribosomal RNA". It matches the Rfam family "Bacterial small subunit ribosomal RNA", at positions 28 to 507 of the family's 1533-position model. The record is from RNAcentral.